Molecule: ribosomal RNA, 424 nt
Filed under: uncultured Planctomyces sp.
Lineage: Bacteria; Pseudomonadati; Planctomycetota; Planctomycetia; Planctomycetales; Planctomycetaceae
Description: partial 16S ribosomal RNA
Rfam family: Bacterial small subunit ribosomal RNA
Source: RNAcentral
UCGAGAAUCUUCGGCAAUGGGCGCAAGCCUGACCGAGCGACGCCGCGUGUGGGAUGAAGGCCCUUGGGUUGUAAACCACUGUCAGAGGGGAUGAAAUGCAUUCAAGCAAUCUUGGAUGUUUGACAUAGCCUCAGAGGAAGCACGGGCUAAGUUCGUGCCAGCAGCCGCGGUAAUACGAACUGUGCGAACGUUAUUCGGAAUCACUGGGCUUACAGGGUGCGUAGGCGGCCUGUUAAGUAGGGUGUGAAAGCCCCCGGCUCAACCGGGGAAUGGCGCCCUAAACUGGCGGGCUGGAGUGAGAUAGGGGUGUGUGGAACUUCCGGUGGAGCGGUGAAAUGUGUUGAUAUCGGAAGGAACGCCGGUGGCGAAAGCGACACACUGGAUCUUGUCUGACGCUGAGGCACGAAAGCCAGGGGAGCGAACG